RNAcentral lists this ribosomal RNA (496 nucleotides) under uncultured bacterium. Its description in RNAcentral is "partial 16S ribosomal RNA". It matches the Rfam family "Bacterial small subunit ribosomal RNA", at positions 30 to 523 of the family's 1533-position model. The record is from RNAcentral.
AUUGAACGCUGGCGGUAGGCCUAACACAUGCAAGUCGAGCGGUAGGUACUUUCGGGUAUUGAGAGCGGCGGACGGGUGAGUAACGCGUGGGAAUCUGGCUCUUAGAGGGGGACAACUUGUGGAAACGCAAGCUAAUACCGCAUACGCCCUAAGGGGGAAAGCAGGGGAUCUUCGGACCUUGCGCUAAGAGAUGAGCCCGCGUCGGAUUAGCUAGUUGGUAGGGUAAAGGCCUACCAAGGCGACGAUCCGUAACUGGUCUGAGAGGAUGAUCAGUCACACUGGAACUGAGACACGAUCCAGACUCCUACGGGAGGCAGCAGUGGGGAAUAUUGGACAAUGGGGGCAACCCUGAUCCAGCCAUGCCGCGUGUGUGAAGAAGGCCUUCGGGUUGUAAAGCACUUUAAGUUGGGAGGAAAGGGUUAUGGCUGAUAUCCAUGAUCUAUGACGUUACCAACAGAAUAAGCACCGGCUAACUCCGUGCCAGCCGCCGCGGUAA